UUGGGGAAGAAGAACUGACGGUACCCAAUGAAUCAGCAUCGGCUAACUCCGUGCCAGCAGCCGCGGUAAUACGGAGGAUGCAAGCGUUAUCCGGAAUUAUUGGGCGUAAAGCGUCCGCAGGUGGUUGUACAAGUCUGCUGUUAAAGCGUCCAGCUUAACUGGAUACGGGCAGUGGAAACUGUGCGACUAGAGUUUGGUAGGGGUCACGGGAAUUCCCAGUGUAGCGGUGAAAUGCGUAGAUAUUGG
This 246-nucleotide ribosomal RNA is filed under the name uncultured Arthronema sp. Its description in RNAcentral is "partial 16S ribosomal RNA". It matches the Rfam family "Bacterial small subunit ribosomal RNA", at positions 439 to 700 of the family's 1533-position model. The record is from RNAcentral. Lineage: Bacteria; Bacillati; Cyanobacteriota; Cyanophyceae; Leptolyngbyales; Leptolyngbyaceae.